This 330-nucleotide unclassified non-coding RNA is filed under the name fungal sp. RNAcentral's name for it is "partial internal transcribed spacer region". The stretch from base 1 to 46 matches the Rfam family "Eukaryotic small subunit ribosomal RNA", at positions 1786 to 1831 of the family's 1831-position model. Lineage: Eukaryota; Fungi. The record is from RNAcentral.
AAGUCGUAACAAGGUCUCCGUAGGUGAACCUGCGGAGGGAUCAUUAACACUGUCCAGGCCUGGAGCAGGCUUUCGAGUCUGCGCCAGUCGACCUGUCCACCAAUCGCGUGAACUCAACCUUUUUCCCAGCUGUUGCGAGUGCGCGGACUGUGGUGUGAUCCUGUAUCAGAGUCACAGUUCGCCUGCUCUCGAUGGCGUUUGUUUGUGUUUUUCCACCAAACCGUGUCCAACCCUUCUUUUGACUGAAGUUUUGCUGUCGCUCGCUUGAGUGUAUGGCCAUAAAACAGUUGAAUCAAAGCACAACUCUUAGCAACGGAUAUCUCGGUUCUC